Molecule: ribosomal RNA, 484 nt
Filed under: uncultured bacterium
Lineage: Bacteria
Description: partial 16S ribosomal RNA
Rfam family: Bacterial small subunit ribosomal RNA
Source: RNAcentral
AUUGAACGCUAGCGGGAUGCUUUACACAUGCAAGUCGAACGGCAGCGCGGACUUCGGUCUGGCGGCGAGUGGCGAACGGGUGAGUAAUGUAUCGGAACGUGCCCAGUAGCGGGGGAUAACUACGCGAAAGCGUAGCUAAUACCGCAUACGCCCUACGGGGGAAAGCAGGGGAUCGUAAGACCUUGCACUAUUGGAGCGGCCGAUAUCGGAUUAGCUAGUUGGUGAGGUAACGGCUCACCAAGGCGACGAUCCGUAGCUGGUUUGAGAGGACGACCAGCCACACUGGGACUGAGACACGGCCCAGACUCCUACGGGAGGCAGCAGUGGGGAAUUUUGGACAAUGGGGGCAACCCUGAUCCAGCGAUCCCGCGUGUGCGAUGAAGGCCUUCGGGUUGUAAAGCACUUUUGGCAGGAAAGAAACGUCGCGGGCUAAUACCCCGUGGAACUGACGGUACCUGCAGAAUAAGCACCGGCUAACUACGUG